Streptomyces cellostaticus is the source of this 77-nucleotide non-coding RNA. The record is from Rfam. Lineage: Bacteria; Bacillati; Actinomycetota; Actinomycetes; Kitasatosporales; Streptomycetaceae.
UUGAGCCGGAUGCGCUGAAAGGUGCACGUCCGGUUCUGAGGGGGCCGGGUCACGGCAACGUGACCCGGCUACCCGAC